This 343-nucleotide ribosomal RNA is filed under the name uncultured Pseudodifflugiidae. RNAcentral's name for it is "SSU rRNA". The stretch from base 126 to 343 matches the Rfam family "Eukaryotic small subunit ribosomal RNA", at positions 738 to 955 of the family's 1831-position model. RNAcentral also lists the same sequence under 1 other name. Lineage: Eukaryota; Endomyxa; Gromiida; Pseudodifflugiidae. The record is from RNAcentral.
GAUUUCUGGUAUGAUGCCCCUGAUCCGCGCCCUUUACGGGGUGUGUGUGUUGGUGUGGCGUCUGCCAUCUUUUGUGUAGAUGCUACGUUUUUGGGGGGCCUUUACUGGUUUUCCAUACGUGGGUUAUCAUCUACAUCUUUUACUUUGAAAAAAUUAGAGUGUUUAAAGCAGGCUUUUAGCCCUUGAAUACAUUAGCAUGGAAUAAUAAUAUAGGACUUCGGUUCUAUUUUGUUGGUUUCUAGUACUGAAGUAAUGAUUGAUAGGGAUAGUUGGGGGUGCUAGUAUUCAGCGGCCAGAGGUGAAAUUCUUGGAUUCGCUGAAGACUAACUUAUGCGAAAGCAUU